Molecule: ribosomal RNA, 721 nt
Filed under: Suidasia medanensis
Lineage: Eukaryota; Metazoa; Arthropoda; Arachnida; Sarcoptiformes; Suidasiidae
Description: SSU rRNA
Rfam family: Eukaryotic small subunit ribosomal RNA
Source: RNAcentral
CCAGCAAUCAGCCAGAGUUAAUAGAUGACUCGGCUGGCGGCUUCCGGGAAACCAAAGUGUUUCGGUUCCAGGGGAAGUAUGGUUGCAAAGCUGAAACUUAAAGGAAUUGACGGAAGGGCACCACCAGGAGUGGAGCCUGCGGCUUAAUUUGACUCAACACGGGGAAACUCACCCGGCCCGGACACUGGAAGGAUUGACAGAUUGAGAGCUCUUUCUUGAUUCAGUGGGUGGUGGUGCAUGGCCGUUCUUAGUUGGUGGAGUGAUUUGUCUGGUUAAUUCCGAUAACGAACGAGACUCUAGCCUACUAAAUAGACUCCGACGCGCCUCGGCUCGUCUCGGAGAGCUUCUUAGAGGGACAGGCGGCGUUGCAGCCGCAUGAGAAAGAGCAAUAACAGGUCUGUGAUGCCCUUAGAUGUCCGGGGCCGCACGCGCGCUACACUGAAGAGAGCAGCGCGCCUGUGCUUCCUACUCCGAAAGGAGCGGGGAACCGAGUGAACCCUUUUCGUGCUUGGGAUUGGGGAUUGCAAUUAUUCUCCAUGAACGAGGAAUUCCCAGUAAGCGCAAGUCAUCAGCUUGUGUUGAUUACGUCCCUGCCCUUUGUACACACCGCCCGUCGCUACUACCGAUUGGAUGUUUUAGUGAGGUCUUCGGACUGGCCGGUGCAGCGGGCCUCGUGUUCGCAGCACUGUUGCUGGAAAGAUGACCAAACUUGAACAUCUAG